Molecule: ribosomal RNA, 253 nt
Filed under: uncultured bacterium
Lineage: Bacteria
Description: partial 16S ribosomal RNA
Rfam family: Bacterial small subunit ribosomal RNA
Source: RNAcentral
UACGUAGGUGGCAAGCGUUGUCCGGAAUUAUUGGGCGUAAAGCGCGCGCAGGUGGUUCCUUAAGUCUGAUGUGAAAGCCCACGGCUCAACCGUGGAGGGUCAUUGGAAACUGGGGAACUUGAGUGCAGAAGAGGAAAGUGGAAUUCCAAGUGUAGCGGUGAAAUGCGUAGAGAUUUGGAGGAACACCAGUGGCGAAGGCGACUUUCUGGUCUGUAACUGAUACUGAGGCGCGAAAGCGUGGGGAGCAAACAGG